Mus musculus (house mouse) is the source of this 142-nucleotide non-coding RNA. NCBI's taxonomy places the organism in Eukaryota, Metazoa, Chordata, Mammalia, Rodentia, Muridae. The record is from Rfam.
UGCCCUCUGACAAUGGGCUAAGGGACACCCUGUUGGUGUUGUUCUUAUAUCAGUCAGGGGCAGAGUAGAUGGCAGUCCUCUGUUCAUUCUAGCUUGAUGCCUGGCUUGUUGGCCAAAGCUAUCUUAUGCCUAGGACUCAUAA